UCAAAUAUUUGUGCGCAAAUUGUGCCCCGGACCUUAAAUUUUUCCGUUUUUUCUUUUCGGUUUUUCUUUUGCUUUGGCCUUUUGAGUCUUGGUGCUUAUUCGGUUAUUUAAAAAAAAAGCCAAAUGCCUGUCGCCAUACAAAUGAAGGAC
RNAcentral lists this non-coding RNA (150 nucleotides) under Hemiselmis andersenii. Lineage: Eukaryota; Cryptophyceae; Cryptomonadales; Hemiselmidaceae. The record is from RNAcentral.